AGUGGCGAACGGGUGAGUAACACGUGGGCAACCUGCCCAAAAGAGGGGGAUAACACUUGGAAACAGGUGCUAAUACCGCAUAACCAUAGUUACCGCAUGGUAACUAUGUAAAAGGUGGCUAUGCUACCGCUUUUGGAUGGGCCCGCGGCGCAUUAGCUAGUUGGUGGGGUAAAGGCUUACCAAGGCAAUGACGCGUAGCCGAACUGAGAGGUUGAUCGGCCACAUUGGGACUGAGACACGGCCCAAACUCCUACGGAAGGCAGCAG
Molecule: ribosomal RNA, 266 nt
Filed under: uncultured bacterium
Lineage: Bacteria
Description: partial 16S ribosomal RNA
Rfam family: Bacterial small subunit ribosomal RNA
Source: RNAcentral